AACGCGAAGAACCUUACCAACCCUUGACAUGCCAGGACGGUUCUCAGAGAUGGGUUCCUUCUCGCAAGAGACCUGGACACAGGUGCUGCAUGGCUGUCGUCAGCUCGUGUCGUGAGAUGUUGGGUUAAGUCCCGCAACGAGCGCAACCCUCAUCUUCAGUUGCCAGCGGUUCGGCCGGGCACUCUGAAGAAACUGCCGGUGACAAGCCGGAGGAAGGUGGGGAUGACGUCAAGUCCUCAUGGCCCUUACGGGUUGGGCUACACACGUGCUACAAUGGCGGUGACAAUGGGUAGCAAAGCUGCAAAGCCGAGCUAAUCUCAAAAAGCCGUCUCAGUUCGGAUUGCACUCUGCAACUCGAGUGCAUGAAGUCGGAAUCGCUAGUAAUCGUGGAUCAGCACGCCACGGUGAAUACGUUCCCGGGCCUUGUACACACCGGCUAC
This 440-nucleotide ribosomal RNA is filed under the name uncultured bacterium. RNAcentral describes it as "bacterial SSU rRNA". It matches the Rfam family "Bacterial small subunit ribosomal RNA", at positions 958 to 1397 of the family's 1533-position model. The record is from RNAcentral.